Long non-coding RNA from Brassica rapa (field mustard), 3197 nucleotides. RefSeq lists it as uncharacterized. The record is from RefSeq and is a predicted model, not a curated record. NCBI's taxonomy places the organism in Eukaryota, Viridiplantae, Streptophyta, Magnoliopsida, Brassicales, Brassicaceae.
GAUCAUUCAGGUUUACAAAUUACAACUCAUCUCCAUUCAACUCAAUGGUUCUAACUAUGAUGAUUGGAGUGCUGCGAUGAAAAUUGAUUUUUUUCAGUCUCACUUUUCAGUUUUCCAAUAACGUGUCGGGAUUUUGGAGUGUGUUCAGCUUGUCCACCAUCUUCAAAGCUUUCAUGGCCAACAGCUAAAUCAAAAUCUGCUAGAGUUUUGGUAUCUUUUGAAAUGAACGAAGACAUUAUUAGAGAUUUGCCAUAUUUAUUGUUUCUGGCAAUGGAAAGUUUUAUCAAGACAUUAUUAUUCCUGUAGAAUUACUAGCUCCAUUAACAAUCAAUUACAAGAAUUUGUUCUUUUAAUAUUUAUGAAAUUUUAAAAUACAUAAUCAUCUUAUUGCAUUCUCUGUGCAGUAAAUUUCUGACCAAAACAUUAUCUUAGUGCUCUAUGUUGAAUAUGUAUAUGUUAAUUACUUACAAACUUACAACUCUUGAUUGGACUGGCAAAAAAUAAAAAAUUCUCAAAAAUAUAUCAAAUUCUUAUGUUUAGUAUCAAAGGGGGUAAUCUUAUCAACACAUAUGUUUGUUUGAAUGUUCAAAACUAAGAGGAACUUCCAAUUUUUUUUUAGGACCGCGAUAUGUUUCUCAGUUCUAAAUCUUUUUUUUUUGUCUUUGCUAAGUACCCAUUACAAUUUUUAAAUUUAAAUAUCAACAAUUGUGAUUUAUUUGAAAAGUCAUUUGGGUGUAUAUACAUAAAUAAAAUAGUAAUUAGGUAAAUAGUUGUUUUUCAAAAAUAUUUACAGAAUCAUGCAAGGAGGGUGUGUGAAAUUAAAUAAGACUCCACAACAACAUAGGGAGUAAUAAACAAAAAGCAGGUAAAUAUACAAUGAUGUAUACAAACUGCAAUUUUGUUUAUUGUUCAGAUUUUCCUGAUUUUCACAGUAGGAAAAUGAAAACCAUUUAGGAAAAUAUCAUUUAUCAGCAGAAAAGUAAAAUAAACCAAAAAGCUUUCACAAGUUGGGUCUCGAUACAUAGCUAAUCCAGCUUGUGAUAAUAAUAUCCAGAUAACAUAGCUAAUUGAUAUAUAUAUAUAUAUAUAUAUAUCAAUUUUAUAUAUGUACUUUGAAUGCCAAUAGAGAAAAUUAGGGUGGAUUUAAUUAGAUAUCUGGAAAAAAACCCAGUUAUUUAUCCGGGAAAUAUGCAGAGAAUUCCACGACCAAUGAAGAAGAAGGGAAACAAGAGAAAAAUAAAUAAAAAAUAGUUAUUUAUCAAUGGAGGAGCCAGCGCAUUCCACAAUCAAAUGCGGAAGAAGAAAGACGAGAGCAUUCCACAAUCAAAUGCGGAAGAAGAAAGACCAAAUAAGGAGAAAUAGGAAAAAAGAGAGAGAUACAAAGCUAGUGUAGACCCAAGGCUAAGUUGGGGUUUUAUGAGAAAGUCAGUGUUUUUCUAUAUACCUAAUUAAAUUUUUUCCUAUAGUAAUAUAGUGCAGAUACUCUUAUUUGAAAACAAACAGUUAGAUGAAAUUUGAAAUGUCAGAAAAAAAAAACAAAAUAUAAUAUAAUUGUGAUCAAAAUCAUGAUGAGUAUGCAUGGCAAAACUUACACCUAUAUGAGAACCGAAAAAUAUGACUAGAUAUUAUUAUACAUUGAGAACAGUAGCGGCCCGAACAUUUUGGAAGCUGAAAGCAACAAUUAUAUUUUGGGCCUCUAAAUGUUACUUUAAUUAAAAAAUAAAAAAUAGUGACUCUGAGAAUCGAACUUAUCACCUAAAAGAUCUAAGAAGAGUAAUCUUUCCAGUCGAGCUACUGUGACUUUUGUCACAAAAUGAAGCUGCAAUAUUCUUAUAAUAUUUAAAGGCCGGAAGCAUGUGCUUCCUUGGCUUCUUGCCAGGGUCGGCACUGAUUGAGAAUGAAACAAAAAUUAUUGCUUCAUAUGGAAUUAACAGGUUGGUAACUAUUAAAGUGUUUUAAAAUUAGUAUUCUUUUCUUCCGCAAAAAACAGCUCCAAUAAUAAAAAAUUACAAACUAAAUCUUACAACAAAACUUUUGAAUCUAUAAUGCAACCAAUCAUCACCAUAUAUAUCAUGUACUAUUUGUACUUGCUUCUUCCACUGUAAUUAACAUCAACCAACAAAUUAGAACCGGAUCUCGGAUAAUCGGGUAGAGCGAAUAAACGAAUGUAGGCCCAUGUAAGCCCAUUUGAUAAGACCGGAGUGGACAGACCAAUUCGGUUAUGUCGAGAGUUCCGCAGCUGGUAUUAGGCAACCCGGUUCGUUCCUUCUGAGGAGAAGAAGAAAGAGCUCGAGAUGGAGAUUGAUUUCCCGAGCUCGUUCAAGCAUCGUUUGCAUUCUUCUUUUACUCUCGCUGAGCUUCGCGCCAUGUGCUUUCUCCAAAUCUCUUCCCGACGUCUCCUAAAAUCUGAGUGUUAGAGGACUCAGUAUAAAGCUCCGUUGGGGAACAUGGGAGCUUGACUCUGUGGGAGAAAUCAAUUUGUAAGAUGCGGAGAUAAGGGAGAAGAAGAGAGAAUGCUAUGCUGAUAUAGAGAUGUGUGUUCCAUGGGUGUUUCAGUUGUUGAUUCAUACUAAAGGAGGAGACUUUACAAAAAAAAAAACUGAAUGUUCUUGGUAUUAUUUCCUAUAGGAUGGGAAAGGUUUUAGCUUUGGUUAAGUUCUGAGACAUAAUGAAUCACUCGUAGGAUGAGUUUUGGCUGAACUUGUUACUUUUUUAACUCCGAAGUUUCUACGAGUAGUUAGCAGAUUCUUGACACUUUAUUUUGAUUUCUGUUCUUGGCUCAUUUUUGUGGAAAACAAAAACAGUGGGUUAUGGGGUUGGCAAUGCAAGUCUUCUCCAGUAGCAAAAGAGAAUUGUGCGCUGCGUUGUCUUUCUCCCGUUUGCUAUCAACUCAUUUAUGAGAGCGAACCGCUUGAAGAAGGCGAAAAAGAUUUGGUUAGGAGCCAAGAAUACAAAUAUUGUUAUGUACAAGUCUUCGCUCCGGGAAAGCCUAGAUGGUGUUCGAGGCAGCUUUUGAUAUAAAAGCUUGUGUAAAUUGUGCAGUGACAAGAGCUUCUGUAAUUGUGUAGCACUCUGCUCUUAUCACGUUUGGAGCUUCAUUUGUUUUACAUGUGAAAUAAAAGUUCAAAUCGCAAUGUUGGAUAAAUUUAUGAAGAAGCUAUGAGAAACUUUACAUUUAAUUGAUUGGAUUUGGUUAA